GUGACCUACGGGAGGCAGCAGUAGGGAAUAUUGCUCAAUGGGGGAAACCCUGAUGCAGCGACGCCGCGUGAGUGAAGAAGUAAUUCGUUAUGUAAAGCUCUAUCAGCAGGGAAGAAAAUGACGGUACCCGAGUAAGAAGCCCCGGCUAACUACGUGCCAGCAGCCGCGGUAAUACGUAGGGGGCAAGCGUUAUCCGGAUUUACUGGGUGUAAAGGGAGCGUAGACGGCAGUGCAAGUCUGGAGUGAAAGGCGGGGGGUCAACCCCC
This 266-nucleotide ribosomal RNA is filed under the name uncultured bacterium. Its description in RNAcentral is "partial 16S ribosomal RNA". It matches the Rfam family "Bacterial small subunit ribosomal RNA", at positions 334 to 617 of the family's 1533-position model. The record is from RNAcentral.